This 253-nucleotide ribosomal RNA is filed under the name uncultured bacterium. RNAcentral describes it as "partial 16S ribosomal RNA". It matches the Rfam family "Bacterial small subunit ribosomal RNA", at positions 524 to 776 of the family's 1533-position model. The record is from RNAcentral.
UACGAAGGGUGCAAGCGUUAUCCGGAUUCACUGGGUUUAAAGGGUGCGUAGGUGGGUUGGUAAGUCAGUGGUGAAAUCUCCGUGCUUAACAUGGAAACUGCCAUUGAUACUACUGAUCUUGAAUUUUCAGGAGGUAAGCGGAAUAUGUCAUGUAGCGGUGAAAUGCUUAGAUAUGACAUAGAACACCAAUUGCGAAGGCAGCUUACUACAGGAAUAUUGACACUGAUGCACGAAAGCGUGGGGAUCAAACAGG